CGGCACGGGUGAGUAACACGUAUCCAACCUGCCGUCUACUCUUGGACAGCCUUCUGAAAGGAAGAUUAAUACAAGAUGGCAUCAUGAGUUCACAUGUUCACAUGAUUAAAGGUAUUCCGGUAGACGAUGGGGAUGCGUUCCAUUAGAUAGUAGGCGGGGUAACGGCCCACCUAGUCUUCGAUGGAUAGGGGUUCUGAGGGGAAGGUCCCCCACAUUGGAACUGAGACACGGUCCAA
This 236-nucleotide ribosomal RNA is filed under the name uncultured bacterium. RNAcentral describes it as "partial 16S ribosomal RNA". It matches the Rfam family "Bacterial small subunit ribosomal RNA", at positions 100 to 334 of the family's 1533-position model. The record is from RNAcentral.